This 464-nucleotide ribosomal RNA is filed under the name uncultured bacterium. RNAcentral describes it as "partial 16S ribosomal RNA". It matches the Rfam family "Bacterial small subunit ribosomal RNA", at positions 339 to 795 of the family's 1533-position model. The record is from RNAcentral.
CUACGGGAUGCACCAGUGAGGAAUUUUGCGCAAUGGGGGCAACCCUGACGCAGCAACGCCGCGUGAGUGAAGAAGGCCCUUGGGUCGUAAAGCUCUGUCAAUGGGGAAGAAGUUAUUAUGUGUUAAUAGCACAUUUUAUUGACGGUACCCAUGAAGGAAGCACCGGCUAACUCCGUGCCAGCAGCCGCGGUAAUACGGGGGGUGCAAGCGUUAUUCGGAAUUAUUGGGCGUAAGGGGCACGCAGGCGGUCCUGUCAGUCAGAUGUGAAAGCCCGGGGCUCAACCCCGGACGUGCAUUUGAACAGCAGGACUUGAGUACGGGAGAGGAAAGGGGAAUUCCUGGUGUAGAGGUGAAAUUCGUAGAUAUCAGGAGGAACACCGGUGGCGAAGGCGCCUUUCUGGACCGAUACUGACGCUGAGGUGCGAAGGCGUGGGUAGCGAACGGGAUUAGAUACCCCCGUAGUC